CCUACGGGUGGCAGCAGUCGAGAAUUUUUCUCAAUGGGGGAAACCCUGAAGGAGCGACGCCGCGUGGGGGAUGAAUGGCUUCGGCCCGUAAACCCCUGUCAUUUGCGAACAAACCUCUAGGUUGAACAUUCCUGGAGCUGAUUGUAGCAGAAGAGGAAGGGACGGCUAACUCUGUGCCAGCAGCCGCGGUAAUACAGAGGUCCCGAGCGUUGUUCGGAUUCACUGGGCGUAAAGGGUGCGUAGGUGGCUGGGUAAGUUUGAUGUGAAAGCUCCGAGCUCAACUCGGAAAAUGCAUUGAAUACUAUCCAGCUCGAGGGUUGUAGGGGGGACUGGAAUUCUCGGUGUAGCAGUGAAAUGCGUAGAUAUCGAGAGGAACACCAGUGGCGAAGGCGAGUCCCUGGACAAAUCCUGACACUGAGGCACGAAAGCUAGGGGAGCAAACAGGAUUAGAUACCCUGGUAGUC
Molecule: ribosomal RNA, 464 nt
Filed under: uncultured bacterium
Lineage: Bacteria
Description: bacterial SSU rRNA
Rfam family: Bacterial small subunit ribosomal RNA
Source: RNAcentral